AGAUGUGUAUAAGAAGCAGCCUACAAGCCGUGGGAGCGUCGCCGUGUUCUUCGGAGCACGGUCGUGACUGCGUGCCUUUUGAAGAAUGAGCCUGCGAGUUUGCGGUGUGUUGCGAGGUUAACCCGUGUGGGGAAGCCGUAGCGAAAGCGAGUCCGAAUAGGGCGAUAGAGUAGCGCGCUCAAGACCCGAAGCGGAGUGAUCUAGCCAUGGGCAGGUUGAAGCGGAGGUAAGACUUCGUGGAGGACCGAACCCACCAGGGUUGAAAACCUGGGGGAUGACCUGUGGUUAGGGGUGAAAGGCCAAUCAAACUCCGUGAUAGCUGGUUCUCCCCGAAAUGCAUUUAGGUGCAGCGUCGUGUGUUUCUUGCCGGAGGUAGAGCACUGGAUAGGCGAUGGGCCCUACCGGGUUACUGACCUUAGCCAAACUCCGAAUGCCGGUAAGUGAGAGCGCGGCAGUGAGACUGUGGGGGAUAAGCUCCAUGGUCGAGAGGGAAACAGCCCAGAGCAUCGACUAAGGCCCCUAAGCGUACGCUAAGUGGGAAAGGAUGUGGAGUCGCAGAGACAACCAGGAGGUUGGCUUAGAAGCAGCCAUCCUUGAAAGAGUGCGUAAUAGCUCACUGGUCAAGUGAUUCCGCGCCGACAAUGUAGCGGGGCUCAAGCGUACCGCCGAAGUCGUGUCAUUGCAGCAUAUACCUCUAACGGGGGCUGUGAUGGGUAGGGGAGCGUCGUGUGCCGGGUGAAGCAGCCGUGUAAGCGAGUUGUGGAUGGUUCACGAGUGAGAAUGCAGGCAUGAGUAGCGAUACACACGUGAGAAACGUGUGCGCCGAUUGACUAAGGGUUCCUGGGUCAAGCUGAUCUGCCCAGGGUAAGUCGGGACCUAAGGCGAGGCCGACAGGCGUAGUCGAUGGACAACCGGUUGAUAUUCCGGUACCCGCUUUGAAGCGCCAACGCCGAACCAGGCGAUGCUAAGUCCGUGAAGCCGCCCCGGAGCCUUCGGGCAAAGGGGAGUGGUGGAGCCGACGGACCAGACCUGUAGUAGGUGAGUGAUGGGGUGACGCAGGAAGGUAGUCCAGCCCGGGCGGUGGUUGUCCCGGGGUAAGGGUGUAGCCCGAGGGGUAGGUAAAUCCGUCCCUCAUUUAAGGGUGAGACCUGAUGCCGAGCCGAUUGUGGUGAAGUGGAUGAUCCUAUGCUGUCGAGAAAAGCCUCUAGCGAGUUUCAUGGCGGCCCGUACCCUAAACCGACUCAGGUGGUCAGGUAGAGAAUACCGAGGCGUUCGGGUGAACUAUGGUUAAGGAACUCGGCAAAAUGCCCCCGUAACUUCGGGAGAAGGGGGGCCAUUGCUGGUGAUCACCCUUGCGGUGUGAGCUGGUGGUGGCCGCAGAGACCAGCGAGAAGCGACUGUUUACUAAAAACACAGGUCCGUGCGAAGCCGUAAGGCGAUGUAUACGGACUGACGCCUGCCCGGUGCUGGAACGUUAAGGGGACCGGUUAGUGGGAUUUCGAUCCCGCGAAGCUGAGAACUUAAGCGCCAGUAAACGGCGGUGGUAACUAUAACCAUCCUAAGGUAGCGAAAUUCCUUGUCGGGUAAGUUCCGACCUGCACGAAUGGCGUAACGACUUCUCGACUGUCUCAACCAUAGGCCCGGUGAAAUUGCAUUACGAGUAAAGAUGCUCGUUUCGCGCAGCAGGACGGAAAGACCCCGGGACCUUUACUACAGCUUGAUAUUGGUGUUCGGUUCGGCUUGUGUAGGAUAGGUGGGAGACUGUGAACUCUGGACGCCAGUUCAGGGGGAGUCGUUGUUGAAAUACCACUCUGGUCGUGCUGGAUGUCUAACCUGGGUCCGUGAUCCGGAUCAGGGACAGUGUCUGGUGGGUAGUUUAACUGGGGCGGUUGCCUCCUAAAGGGUAACGGAGGCGCCCAAAGGUUCCCUCAGCCUGGUUGGCAAUCAGGUGUUGAGUGUAAGUGCACAAGGGAGCUUGACUGUGAGACCGACGGGUCGAGCAGGGACGAAAGUCGGGACUAGUGAUCCGGCGGUGGCUUGUGGAAGCGCCGUCGCUCAACGGAUAAAAGGUACCCCGGGGAUAACAGGCUGAUCUUCCCCAAGAGUCCAUAUCGACGGGAUGGUUUGGCACCUCGAUGUCGGCUCGUCGCAUCCUGGGGCUGGAGUCGGUCCCAAGGGUUGGGCUGUUCGCCCAUUAAAGCGGUACGCGAGCUGGGUUUAGAACGUCGUGAGACAGUUCGGUCCCUAUCCGCUGUGCGCGUAGGAGUCUUGAGAAGGGCUGUCCCUAGUACGAGAGGACCGGGACGGACGAACCUCUGGUGUGCCAGUUGUUCUGCCAAGGGCAUGGCUGGUUGGCUACGUUCGGGAGGGAUAACCGCUGAAAGCAUCUAAGCGGGAAGCCUGCUUCGAGAUGAGGACUCCCACCCACUUGAUGGGUUAAGGCUCCCAGUAGACGACUGGGUUGAUAGGCCAGAUAUGGAAGCCGGGUGACCGGUGGAGUUGACUGGUACUAAUAGGCCGAGGGCUUGUCCUC
This 2533-nucleotide ribosomal RNA is filed under the name Streptomyces asiaticus. RNAcentral describes it as "bacterial LSU rRNA". It matches the Rfam family "Bacterial large subunit ribosomal RNA", at positions 545 to 2925 of the family's 2925-position model. The record is from RNAcentral. Lineage: Bacteria; Bacillati; Actinomycetota; Actinomycetes; Kitasatosporales; Streptomycetaceae.